GUGUCAGCCGCCGCGGUAAUACGGAGGGUGCGAGCGUUGUCCGGAAUCAUUGGGUGUAAAGGGUGCGUAGGCGGGCUGCUAAGUCUGGGGUGAAAUCCUGCCGCUUAACGGUAGAAUGGCCCCCGAUACUGGCAGUCUUGAGUACAGAAGAGGUCGGUGGAAUUCGUAGUGUAGCGGUGAAAUGCAUAGAUAUUACGAAGAACACCAGUGGCGAAGGCGGCCGGCUGGUCUGUAACUGACGCUGAGGCACGAAAGCGUGGGGAGCGAACAGGAUUAGAUACCCUGGUAGUCCACGCCGUAAACGAUGGAUGCCAGCCGUUGGGCAGCAUGCUGUUCAGUGGCGCAGUUAACGCAUUAAGCAUCCCGCCUGGGGAGUACGGUCGCAAGGUUAAAACUCAAAUGAAUUGGCGGGG
This 413-nucleotide ribosomal RNA is filed under the name uncultured prokaryote. RNAcentral's name for it is "bacterial SSU rRNA". It matches the Rfam family "Bacterial small subunit ribosomal RNA", at positions 505 to 918 of the family's 1533-position model. The record is from RNAcentral.